RNAcentral lists this unclassified non-coding RNA (329 nucleotides) under soil metagenome. RNAcentral describes it as "partial contains 5.8S ribosomal RNA, internal transcribed spacer 2, and large subunit ribosomal RNA". The stretch from base 1 to 120 matches the Rfam family "5.8S ribosomal RNA", at positions 35 to 154 of the family's 154-position model. The record is from RNAcentral.
GAUGAAGAACGCAGCGAAAUGCGAUAAGUAGUGUGAAUUGCAGAAUUCAGUGAAUCAUCGAAUCUUUGAACGCACAUUGCGCCCUCUGGUAUUCCGGGGGGCAUGCCUGCUCGAGCGUCAUUAUAACCACUCAAGCUCUCGCUUGGUAUUGGGGUUCGCGGUUCCGCGGCCCCUAAAAUCAGUGGCGGUGCCUGUCGGCUCUACGCGUAGUAAUACUCCUCGCGAUUGAGUCCGGUAGGUCUACUUGCCAGCAACCCCCAAUUUUUACAGGUUGACCUCGGAUCAGGUAGGGAUACCCGCUGAACUUAAGCAUAUCAAUAAGCGGAGGA